RNAcentral lists this ribosomal RNA (1242 nucleotides) under metagenome. RNAcentral's name for it is "bacterial LSU rRNA". It matches the Rfam family "Bacterial large subunit ribosomal RNA", at positions 1564 to 2816 of the family's 2925-position model. The record is from RNAcentral.
UGAAUACGAGACGCUAAGGCGUCGAAGUAGUGUAUGUCAUACUUCCAAGAAAAGCUUGCACUGUCAUAAGUAAAAAAUGCCUGUACCAUAACCGACACAGGUGGGUAGGUAGAGUAUACUAAGGGGCGCGAGAUAACUCUCUCUAAGGAACUCGGCAAAAUAACUCCGUAACUUCGGGAGAAGGAGUACCUUAUUCUAUAAGGUUGCAAUAACAAGAUCCAAGCAACUGUUUAUCAAAAACACAGGUCUCCGCUAAGUCGUAAGACGAUGUAUGGGGGCUGACGCCUGCCCAGUGCCAGAAGGUUAAGGAAGUCGGUUAGCAUUAGCGAAGCUGGUAACUGAAGCCCUGGUGAACGGCGGCCGUAACGAUAACGGUCCUAAGGUAGCGAAAUUCCUUGUCGGGUAAGUUCCGACCCGCACGAAAGGCGUAAUGAUUUGGAUACUGUCUCGGAGAGGGGCUCGGUGAAAUAGACUUGUCUGUGAAGAUGCGGACUACCUGCACCAGGACAGAAAGACCCUAUGAAGCUUUACUGUAACUUGAAAUUGAAAUUGGACUUUAUUCGCGCAGUAUAGGUGGGAGGUGUUGAUUAUAAUCUUGCGGGAUUAUUGGAGCCAUCAGUGAGAUACCACUCUUGUAAUGUUAGAUUUCUAACUUUGAAUCAUUAUCUGGUCAAAGGACAGUUUCAGGCGGGCAGUUUGACUGGGCGGUCGCCUCCCAAACGGUAACGGAGGCGUACAAAGGUUUCCUCUGAACGGGUAGAAAUCGUAUCUAGAGUGUAAAGGCAUAAGGAAGCUUGACUGUGAGACCUACAAGUCGAACAGGGACGAAAGUCGGUCUUAGUGAUCUGACGGUACUGAGUGGAAAGGCCGUCACUCAACGGAUAAAAGUUACUCUAGGAUAACAGGCUGAUCUCCCCCAAGAGUUCACAUCGACGGGGAGGUUUGGCACCUUGAUGUCGGCUCAUCGCAUCCUGGGGCGGUAGUACGUCCCAAGGGUUGGGCCGUUCGCCCAUGAAAGCGGUACGCGAGCUGGGUUCAGAACGUCGUGAGACAGUUCGGUCCAUAUCCGGUGUAGGCGUUAGAAUAUUGAGAGGAGCCUUCUUUAGUACGAGAGGACCGAGAAGGACAUACCUCUGGUGUACCAGUUAUCGUGCCAACGGUAAACGCUGGGUAGCUAUGUAUGGAGUGGAUAACCGCUGAAAGCAUCUAAGUGUGAAGCCCACCUCAAGAUAAGUAUUCUCC